This 527-nucleotide ribosomal RNA is filed under the name uncultured bacterium. Its description in RNAcentral is "partial 16S ribosomal RNA". It matches the Rfam family "Bacterial small subunit ribosomal RNA", at positions 355 to 871 of the family's 1533-position model. The record is from RNAcentral.
UGGGGAAUAUUGCACAAUGGGCGCAAGCCUGAUGCAGCCAUGCCGCGUGUGUGAAGAAGGCCUUCGGGUUGUAAAGCACUUUCAGCGAGGAGGAAGGUGGUGAACUUAAUACGUUCAUCAAUUGACGUUACUCGCAGAAGAAGCACCGGCUAACUCCGUGCCAGCAGCCGCGGUAAUACGGAGGGUGCAAGCGUUAAUCGGAAUUACUGGGCGUAAAGCGCACGCAGGCGGUUUGUUAAGUCAGAUGUGAAAUCCCCGGGCUCAACCUGGGAACUGCAUUUGAAACUGGCAAGCUAGAGUCUCGUAGAGGGGGGUAGAAUUCCAGGUGUAGCGGUGAAAUGCGUAGAGAUCUGGAGGAAUACCGGUGGCGAAGGCGGCCCCCUGGACGAAGACUGACGCUCAGGUGCGAAAGCGUGGGGCAGCAAACAGGAUUAGAUACCCUGGUAGUCCACGCUGUAAACGAUGUCGAUUUUGGAGGUUGUGCCCCUUGAGGCGUGGCUUCCGGAGCUAACGCGUUAAAUCGACCG